GUGGUCACUAUAGCAGCACACAUACUAAAAUUGGAGUAAUACAGAGACUGGCAUGGCCCCUGUGCAAGGAUGACAUGAAAAUUAAUAGUUUUAU
Molecule: small nuclear RNA, 94 nt
Filed under: Jaculus jaculus (lesser Egyptian jerboa)
Lineage: Eukaryota; Metazoa; Chordata; Mammalia; Rodentia; Dipodidae
Source: RNAcentral